RNAcentral lists this small RNA (77 nucleotides) under Flavobacterium sp. KMS. RNAcentral describes it as "Flavo-1 RNA". It matches the Rfam family "Flavo-1 RNA". Lineage: Bacteria; Pseudomonadati; Bacteroidota; Flavobacteriia; Flavobacteriales; Flavobacteriaceae. The record is from Rfam by way of RNAcentral.
UUUUAGCCCUGAUGGGAGCGACAUCCUUUUUUUGGUUUUUUAGCCAGAAAAAGAUAUAGCGGACAGCAGGAAAUAGC